GAUUAACGCUGGCGGCGUGCCUAAUACAUGCAAGUCGAACGGAGAGUUUUUGGUAAUUUAUUACUCGAAACUUCUUAGUGGCGAACGGGUGAGUAACGCGUUGGUGACCUGCCCCGAAGAGAGGGACAACCCCGGGAAACUGGAGCUAAUACCUCAUGUGGUCAUAGCAUUUAGAAAACUAUGUCUAAAGGACUUCGGUCCGCUUCGGGAGGAACCUGCGUCCCAUCAGCUAGUUGGUAGGGUAACGGCCUACCAAGGCUAAGACGGGUAGGGGACCUGAGAGGGUGGCCCCCCACAAUGGUACUGAAACACGGACCAUACACCUACGGGUGGCAGCAGUAGGGAAUUUUGCCUAAUGGACGAAAGUCUGAGGCAGCAACGCCGCGUGUGCGAUGAAGGCCUUCGGGUUGUAAAGCACUUUUCUGAGGGAAGAGGAAGG
This 439-nucleotide ribosomal RNA is filed under the name uncultured Anaerolineaceae bacterium. RNAcentral's name for it is "bacterial SSU rRNA". It matches the Rfam family "Bacterial small subunit ribosomal RNA", at positions 28 to 454 of the family's 1533-position model. Lineage: Bacteria; Bacillati; Chloroflexota; Anaerolineae; Anaerolineales; Anaerolineaceae. The record is from RNAcentral.